GACGAACGCUGGCGGCGUGCUUAACACAUGCAAGUCGAGCGGUAAGGCCCUUUCGGGGGUACACGAGCGGCGAACGGGUGAGUAACACGUGGGUGACCUGCCUUUAGCUCUGGGAUAAGCCUGGGAAACCGGGUCUAAUACCGGAUAUGACUCCGCGGCGCAUGUUGUGGGGUGGAAAGCCUUGUGCGGCUGGAGAUGGGCCCGCGGCCUAUCAGCUUGUUGGUGGGGUGAUGGCCUACCAAGGCGACGACGGUAGCCGGCCUGAGAGGGCGACCGGCCACACUGGGACUGAGACACGGCCCAGACUCCUACGGGAGGCAGCAGUGGGGAAUCUUGCGC
Molecule: ribosomal RNA, 339 nt
Filed under: uncultured bacterium
Lineage: Bacteria
Description: bacterial SSU rRNA
Rfam family: Bacterial small subunit ribosomal RNA
Source: RNAcentral